This is a long non-coding RNA of Octodon degus (degu), 2498 nucleotides long. RefSeq lists it as uncharacterized. The record is from RefSeq and is a predicted model, not a curated record. The transcript has 6 exons. NCBI's taxonomy places the organism in Eukaryota, Metazoa, Chordata, Mammalia, Rodentia, Octodontidae.
CUCCUCUUUCCCCUCCUCCUCUUCCCCCUCAGCCACCGCCUCCUCCUUUCCCAGCACCACUCCCUCCGGGGCACCAGGGUCCCUGCAGAUUCCCCCGCUCGUGCCGCCUCACCACGGGCCCCGGACCCCGAGCCUGCUGCACCCGAGCUGGUGGGAUGCACGGACCAACAGGCGCGCACAAUCCUCUCGACCUGCGCCCUGUCGCUGCGGUCCUGCGCAGCCAGCGACUGUGGAGCCGAGAUCGCCCGGGAGUUCUGUGAGGGAGACAUCUGAGAUGUUAAGGAAUUCACUCCGGGUCACACACACAGCUAAGAAACGUGAAAGCAGGAUUCCAACUCAGGUCCCAGAGGUGCCCUGCCACCACUAUGCAGCAAGCGGGAGGCCAGAUCUGGGCUGUGAUACAGAGAGAGAGUGAGCCCUGUGAGCUGGAGACCUAUCCUGGGGCAUCACAGCAGGAGACCUCCAAGCUGGGCCAAGCCGAAUGGGACUGAGAUCAAAGCCAGCAGGGGUGGCAAGGCAACAAGGAACAUAAGUGCACAGGGCGAAGCUGCUCAUAUCAUGCCUGUGGCUUCGCUGACAGGCUUGGGCCUCUUUGAAGGUCUAGGACAUUCUAGCCCAGACUGCAAGAAAGUGAAACUGCAGAGGAUAAACAGGACUGAAGACAGCAUGCUUAAACUAAGUAUCUUCAACCACAGAAACAGCCAGGAGCAAUGCAGGCAACGCAGAUGCUGAUAGCAGCUUGAGUGACAUUCUGUUUGGGGAGAGGAGCAAGACCUAGCAAUUCCACAGGCUUGUGAUCCACUGCACUGGCUUGGAUCAGCCUCACUGAUGGCUCACGUGGAAAAACACAGCGGAAUGUUCACAAAACAUGUGGAGACUGCUUCUUCUACUUCUGCAAUCAGACCAUGAGAGCUGCUUUGCCUCCCUUUCGCAGCUACCCUAACACUCUCCAGCACCCCUGGCCUUCUCCAAGGCAUGAGGAGACGGCCAGCUCGAAAGUGUGAAUCAAUUUCAGCUGCAAAGAACUUGAGCUCCAAGCGUGAGCGCUGCAGUGGAAUCAAGAUCUCUAGGAUGCCUGCCUGGCCUCGCGUCCUCGAAAGUCCCUGUCUACCAGGCCAGCCAUCCAACCAUUUGGCCACCCAGAGAUGCCCUUCUGACCCUUGGGCUGAGGACUGGGGAUUUUAUCUCUUUCUUGUAGGUCAGCAGUCACUGCCUGUGGCCCUGCACUCAUAGGUCCCUGGAAAGGAAGCUAGGAGAAACCUCCGUGGUCCACCAUCAUGAAGCAACCAAAGCAAUCCCCCAAUUCUGAGACAAUCCCAGAAGUUCAAAGGCCAAACUAGGAAAGGAUCGGGGCGGGCGGGGGGCCUCUGCAGGGAGGCUGCCCGGCCCACCCCCCACACCAGCCUGAGCAGAUUUGCCUGAGCGAGUUAUAAAUCUACUAGUACCAUUUCUUUUUCGUCACUUGCCUAAUCCUGUGCCCUUCGUUUCAUGUGCUGUAAUUAUUAACAUCUGCUUUCUGCGCCUGGCCCGAGUGGAGUUUGCAAAAGCAGUUCUUGGUCCGAACAAUGGUGACAGCUGUUUCAUUUAGCCUAGGGCCAGCACUUCCUGUUCAGUCUACAUCUGCCCUUCUGUGUCCAAUUUCUGUUUCGGAGUUUUGUGUUUUGUUUUCUAUUUUUUUCCCUUCAUCUGACCUUGCUAUAUGUUUAAGAAGAAUUUCUGACUUAGCACUAGAGCUAGUAUUUCUAGCACGUAUGCUUAUUAGAUUGACAACAGCCAGGGGGAGAUGGUAGAAAGCUCAGACUGCCCUCAGGAGCCAACACAGGGAGAGCAGGAGUGGAGAACAGGGCUGCCCAGGAACUCAGGUGCCAGGCGCGGAGGCUUAAGGCUGGGACCUUCCGUGACCUCCUGGGAACCUAGACAUAGGAAAUCUGGGCUCAGCUCCUCUGUCCCCCAGCCUGGGGUCAUCUGCAUGGUUUAUUUGGUAAGGAGUCACCCAGACAUCUGACAAGGGAGCCAGGUGUCCAUGGUGGCCACCAGCACACAGAGGCCUUUCUUCUUUGCAUGCCGAGCAAGAUGGUCAGGUGCAAGGUUCAGAUCAUUUUCCUACGGAGUCACCAGCGAUGUAAUAAAAAUCCCUUCUACCGCUCAGAGGGAGGUCAACAGGAUGCAAAACGGAAAGCAGAAUAAAGGUAUCUGGCUUUGGAUGCUUCAGUGUACAUGCUUGUCUGUGACCAGAGGGGACAGUGACUAUACCCCCUGGCUCCUCCAAUCCAGCCCUCCUGGCCUAGUUGUAGCUAGUACAAGCUUGGGUGCCCCAGUUCAGCUGGUAUACGGAUGCGAAGUUAUUUUCUAAGGGACUCCUCCCUCCCCCCAUGAAGAGCAGGUUAGAGACCUCAACAUUUGUGUAAGGUGCUAUCAGGGAUCACUGGACAUUUAUCACCGAAGAGGAUACAAACUAGUCUUUGGAUGUAAUCGAAUUUGCUGAAGGCAUACAUGUC